Long non-coding RNA from Drosophila gunungcola (fruit fly), 541 nucleotides. RefSeq lists it as uncharacterized. The transcript is spliced from 3 exons. NCBI's taxonomy places the organism in Eukaryota, Metazoa, Arthropoda, Insecta, Diptera, Drosophilidae. The record is from RefSeq and is a predicted model, not a curated record.
UUGGAUGGCUCUGUGGGAAUAUUGUAUUUCUUAGUGUUUCAGCUUUUGUAUCCAAAAGUGUUUAUUAUCGAACAUUUCAAAUAAGUGUUUUAGUUUAUAAUGUGUGGGUACGCAUUCUUGUCAUGUGUUAAUAAGUUUCCAAAAUAAUAUAAACGUAACGUACUUAAUGGCGGACGAUCUGCAAAACUACAAAUUGCAAUUGCAACAGAUCUAAGAGUUCAGCAAAACACCAAGUCGAAUUUAACGCCAAAAAACUACUACUAUUUCAAACACUUCUCUUAUUCUAGAGGAGAGUCGAUCUAGCCAUGUCCGUCUUUUUGUCCCUCCGUUUGUACGCAAACUAGUUUCUCAGUUUUGAAGCUACAUGCACGAACCUUUCGCAAAAGUUGUCUUUAUAUUGCAGGUAAUAUAGAAGUCGGAACGAGCCGGGUCGGACAACUAUAGCAUACAUAUAUCUUCCAUGGGAACUAUCGAGGAUAUUAUUAUUUCAGUCAGAAGUUUAAAACGCUGUGAAGGAGACAUCUCCGACCCUAUAAAGUGU